GUUCCUUGGAAAAGGACAGCUGAGAGGGUGAGACUCCCGUCCGCCUGGUAGAGUGAGCCUUUGUCAAAGAGUCGAGUUGUUUGGGAUUGCAGCUCUAAUUUGGUGGUAAAUUCCAUCUAAAGCUAAAUAUUGGUGGGAGACCGGUAGCGUACAAGUACCGUGAGGGAAAGAUGCAAAGAACUUUGAAAAGAGAGUUAAAGAGUACCUGAAAUUGCUGAAACGGAAGCGAAGGAAACCAGUGUUUGUUUGUUCAUAUUUCCCUGACCACUUGUGGUUUGGGCGCUGUGGGCUUGCGUCGGUUUGCUUUGGUUAAUCCCUUUGGAAGAGCGCAGUCAGAGUUGAUGUCU
This 347-nucleotide ribosomal RNA is filed under the name Pseudo-nitzschia cf. calliantha. Its description in RNAcentral is "LSU rRNA". It matches the Rfam family "Eukaryotic large subunit ribosomal RNA", at positions 185 to 508 of the family's 3401-position model. The record is from RNAcentral. Lineage: Eukaryota; Bacillariophyta; Bacillariophyceae; Bacillariales; Bacillariaceae.